UAGGGAAUCUUCGGCAAUGGACGAAAGUCUGACCGAGCAACGCCGCGUGAGUGAAGAAGGUUUUCGGAUCGUAAAACUCUGUUGUUAGAGAAGAACAAGGACGUUAGUAACUGAACGUCCCCUGACGGUAUCUAACCAGAAAGCCACGGCUAACUACGUGCCAGCAGCCGCGGUAAUACGUAGGUGGCAAGCGUUGUCCGGAUUUAUUGGGCGUAAAGCGAGCGCAGGCGGGUUCUUAAGUCUGAUGUGAAAGCCCCCGGCUCAACCGGGGAGGGUCAUUGGAAACUGGGAGACUUGAAUGCAGAAGAGGAGAGUGGAAUUCCAUGUGUAGCGGUGAAAUGCGUAGAUAUAUGGAGGAACACCAGUGGCGAAGGCGGCUCUCUGGUCUGUAACUGACGCUGAGGCUCGAAAGCGUGGGGAGCAAACAGG
RNAcentral lists this ribosomal RNA (429 nucleotides) under Gemmatimonadota bacterium. RNAcentral's name for it is "Gemmatimonadetes bacterium partial 16S ribosomal RNA". It matches the Rfam family "Bacterial small subunit ribosomal RNA", at positions 355 to 776 of the family's 1533-position model. Lineage: Bacteria; Pseudomonadati; Gemmatimonadota. The record is from RNAcentral.